Molecule: non-coding RNA, 1701 nt
Organism: Sus scrofa (pig)
Lineage: Eukaryota; Metazoa; Chordata; Mammalia; Artiodactyla; Suidae
Source: RefSeq, a predicted model, not a curated record
AUUACAUGAAAGGUCUAUUUCAUCCCAAAACAUUCCCUCAUAAUGUUUUGCAGACAGUACACUCAACAGACAGUAUGUAACUAGACUUAUUGUGGUGAUCAUGUCAUCAUGCAUAAAAAUAUUGAGCCACUAUGUUGUAUGCUUGAAACUGAUAUUGUAUGUCAAUUAUAAUUCAUUAUGAAAGAAUGACAGCUCUACACCCAUAUUGUAAAAUAUGUGAGAAAAUCAUCAAAAGGGAGAAAAAGGAAUGAAGUAAUUAGGAUAGGUUCUGGGUAAAGGAUUAAAAAUGAUGUAUUGGGUUUGUCACAAUGCAGUGAUCAAUAAUUAGUUGCUAAGUAUAUGAAUUGAAGGGAAAAUGAAGGAUUAAAUGCCAGUGACGUCAACCUGAUUGGUGUAAAAGCUAAGAAACUAUAAUAUUGGUUAUCAGCUGUAUGGAAAAAUAAGGUAGAUGUGCAUCUUUUGAGUGCCUUUAUCAAGAGACACAUUUUACUUUCUUGAAAGAAAUGCAAUUUUUUUGAGUGAGUCCUGAAAGGCUAGUUUAACUUGCUUAUUCCUCAGAGUAUAUAUAAAAGGAUUCAGCACUGGUGAAAUGGAAGAAAUAAGCAAUGCCACUCCUUUAUUGAGAUUUACCUCUUCCUUGGCAGAUGGUUUGAUGUAGAUGAAGAUGCAGCUGCCAUAGCUGAUGGAAACGACAAUCAUGUGGGAAGAACAGGUACCGUGGAUGCUAUGCUCACAGAUUAUUAUGAGACACUUUAAUUUCCUGGAAGCAUGAGGCUUCUAAACUUAAAUGGAUCUAUUUGCACUUAUCCAUGAAAAUUAUGAUUCUCUUAAACUUGGAAUUCCAAAGGAGGCUUGUUUUGAAUGCUACAAGGACUGGGAGACACCUGAUGUUACUGUUCUGACAUGGUGUGCAGUUGCUGGAUUGUAGGGUAAGUGUAUGUUUAAAUUUCUAAGAUAUCACCAAGCUCUCUUCCAAAGUGGCUAUAUUAUUUUGGAUUCAUAUAGUAAUGCGUGAGAUUUUCUGUUACACAUCCUGGUCAGUAUUUGGUGUUGUCAGUGUUUCAGAUUUUAACCUUUCUGAUAGGUUUUUGGUUUUUUGUUUUGCCUUGUCUUCUGUAAAGAAAAUAUGUAAGUUUCAGGUGUACAGCAUUAUGUUCAGUAUCUAUAUACACUAUAGAUGGAGGUGUAUAUACCUCCAUCACCGUAGAGUUGGCCCCCCUCACUCAUUUUACCCACCCCCUACCUCAUGCCUCUGGUAACCACAAGUGUAUUCUGUGUAUCUGUGAAUUCAGUAUUUUUCUGUUUUGUUUUGUUUUGAUUUUAGAUUGCGUAUGUAAGAGAGAUCCUAUGGUAAAUUUUCUCUUUCUGAGUUAUUUCACUUAGCAUGAUACUCUCAAAGUCCAUUCAUGGUGUCGCAAAUGUCAGGAUUUCAUUCUUUUUAUGGCUGAGCGGUAUUCCUUUGUGUAUAUAUGCCAUGUCUUUUUUAUCUGUUCAUUCAUUCAUGGACCCUUAGGUUGUUUUCAUAUCUUGGCUAUUGUCAAUAAUGCUGUGAAUAUAGGGUUGCAUUUUAUUUUCAAAUUAGUGUUUUCAUGUACCUGAUGCUAAUUCAAGUUGGUUAUAAGCCCAUAUUGCUACCAAGCAAAGCUGUUGUUUCUUGUGUUGCAAAACAGUAUGUUAAAAUUUUUUUUCUUAAGAUUUUUG